This 253-nucleotide ribosomal RNA is filed under the name uncultured bacterium. RNAcentral describes it as "partial 16S ribosomal RNA". It matches the Rfam family "Bacterial small subunit ribosomal RNA", at positions 524 to 776 of the family's 1533-position model. The record is from RNAcentral.
UACGUAGGGUGCGAGCGUUAAUCGGAAUUACUGGGCGUAAAGCGUGCGCAGGCGGUUUUUUAAGACAGGCGUGAAAUCCCCGGGCUUAACCUGGGAACUGCGCUUGUGACUGGAAGGCUAGAGUACGGCAGAGGGGGGUGGAAUUCCACGUGUAGCAGUGAAAUGCGUAGAGAUCAGGAGGAACACCCGUGGCGAAGGCGGCUCCCUGGUCCGUCCCUGACGCUGAGACGCGAAAGCGCGGGGAGCGAACGGG